AGCUUUGCGCAGUGGCAGUAUCAUAGCCAAUGAGGUUUAUCUGAGGCACGAUUAUUGCUAAUUGAAAAGCAAAAACCAUGGUAAAAAAAAAAUGAAAGAAACAUAUUUUU
Molecule: small nuclear RNA, 110 nt
Filed under: Panthera leo (lion)
Lineage: Eukaryota; Metazoa; Chordata; Mammalia; Carnivora; Felidae
Description: U4 spliceosomal RNA (ENSPLOG00000006620.1)
Rfam family: U4 spliceosomal RNA
About the family: U4 small nuclear RNA (U4 snRNA) is a component of the major U2-dependent spliceosome. The structure of U4 snRNA from yeast and human has been reported.
Source: Rfam by way of RNAcentral